RNAcentral lists this ribosomal RNA (253 nucleotides) under uncultured bacterium. RNAcentral describes it as "partial 16S ribosomal RNA". It matches the Rfam family "Bacterial small subunit ribosomal RNA", at positions 524 to 776 of the family's 1533-position model. The record is from RNAcentral.
UACGAAGGGGGCUAGCGUUGCUCGGAAUCACUGGGCGUAAAGCGCACGUAGGCGGCUUUUUAAGUCAGGGGUGAAAUCCCGGAGCUCAACUCCGGAACUGCCCUUGAUACUGGAAAGCUUGAGUCCGGGAGAGGUGAGUGGAACUGCGAGUGUAGAGGUGAAAUUCGUAGAUAUUCGCAAGAACACCAGUGGCGAAGGCGGCUCACUGGCCCGAUACUGACGCUGAGGCACGAAAGCGUGGGGAGCAAACAGG